GUGGGAAACAUGAGUGAGGGGCUCUUUCUUCCCUUUCGUUCCAGAGGGUCUGAGAACGAGGAGGAGCAGUGCCCGUGGAUGGCAGAGCAGACCUCGCCUGGGUCAGGUCUGGGCUCUGCUGCCACAACCCAGCCUUCCGCCAGCGGCAGCUCCAGAUAAAGAAUGCAGAGUAUGUGCUUCAGUGUCACAAACUGUGCCUGGCCACCAUCCAUCAUCCUGUCAAGACAUCACUCCAGACAGCCUGGCUUCAAGCAGAACCAGGUUGGGGAUUUUCCUCCCAAGAAUAACAAACAGCAGCUAAGUCAGAUCCAGGAGCCAGCUGAGGCCAGCACAGUUCUCUCCCCUGUGAAUGUGACAAUUGGCCUGGGUCCUGAUUCCCCACAUCCUGCUGCCUAAUGUGAUGUACCCAUCAUCUCCAACCAAGAGACAGGGAUCAGAGAUUCAACAUGUCAGCAAACUACAACUCACCCGCAUGCAAGCCAGCUGUCCAAUGGGAAUUCUUCUGAUGGAGCGAUGGGGUGGACUGAGGUUUUAUACUUGCUUCCUCCAGUGAUGCAGAGCACUAUUUCCAAACCCAAGUAGUCCUCUGGCUCCCAAAAUGAGGGAGAAGAGAGGAGGAGAAGGAGGAGCUAAGCUGCACCCAUUGUCAGUGAGCACAGGUGCAGGAGAGAGGGGGUGCCAGACACAUCUCCACCUCCAUCCCUGGAUCUGUGAUUGACAGGUACUCGUAUAAUUCAUACAGGCCAAAGGGGAAUAUCAGCCCCCUAAAGACACUCAUGUUCUAAUCCCUAGAACCUGUGAAUGUUAACCUUAUAUGGCAAGAAAAGGAUUUUAUAGAUGUGAUUAAGUUUAAGUUCUAAAAAUGGAGAGGUUAUCCUGGAUUAUCUGAGUGGGCCCCAUCUGCAAUCACGAGACCGAGGCAGAGGCAGAUCUGACCCCAGACAGAAGAGGAGAAUGCAGCAGCGCCCGCAGAGGCAGAGGCUGGAAUGGAGCAGCCCCAAGGCAAAGCAUGCUGGCCACCAUCAGAAGCCGGAGUACGUGAGGCACAGACGCUUCCCGGGAGCCUCCAGGGGAGCACAGCCCUGCUGAUACCUUGAUUUGGGCAUUAAGACUUAUUUUGGACUUUCGGCCUCUAGAACUGUGACAGAAUACGUUUCUGUUUUUUACACACUUUGUGUGUAAGACUGUGUUACCGCAGUUGCAGGAAACUCACACCAGGGACUAGAGCAGCACUGUGGUGACCACUGGUGCUGGCAGAUCUGUCAAGUGGACCAGGCCCUGGUUCCAGAAGUGAGGUCCUCAUGCAGAGGAGAGGACUGCACACCUGGAAGGGAGGUGGUGAUUAGGUAAUGAACAGUUCUUCCAUUCCUGUACCAAUUGAACAAGGCAGUCCCCUCUCUCCUAUUCACCCUCAUCCAGCCUCCUCCCCACCAACCCCAUCUACCUCCCUAGAGGGCACUUGCAUUCACCUUGCCACUGCUCUGGUGUAUUUGUUUUUGCACUGCUAUAAAUAAAUACCUGAGCCUGGGUAAUUUAUAAAGACAAGAGGUUGAAUUGGCUCAUGGUCCUGCAGGCUGUACAGGAAGCAUGGCGGCAUCUGCUUCCGGGGAGUCCUCAGGGAGCUUUUACUCAUGGUGGAAGCCAAAGUGGG
Macaca mulatta (Rhesus monkey) is the source of this 1651-nucleotide long non-coding RNA. Lineage: Eukaryota; Metazoa; Chordata; Mammalia; Primates; Cercopithecidae. The record is from Ensembl.